UGCUUGAGAGUGGCGAACGGGUGAGUAAUAUAUCGGAACGUGCCCAGUCGUGGGGGAUAACGUAGAGAAAUUUACGCUAAUACCGCAUACGAUCUACGGAUGAAAGCGGGGGAUUCGCAAGAACCUCGCGCGAUUGGAGCGGCUGAUAUCAGAUUGGGUUGUUGGUGAGGUAAAAGCUCACCAAGCCGACGAUCUGUAGCUGGUUUGAGAGAACGACCAGCCACACUGGGACUGAGACACGGCCCAGACUCCUACGGGAGGCAGCAGUGGGGAAUUUUGGACAAUGGGCAAAAGCCUGAUCCAGCAAUGCCGCGUGUGGGAAGAAGGCCUUCGGGUUGUAAACCACUUUUGUACGGAACGAAACGGUUCGCUUUAAUACAGUGGGCUAAUGACGGUACCGUAAGAAUAAGCACCGGCUAACUACGUGCCAGCAGCCGCGGUAAUACGUAGGGUGCGAGCGUUAAUCGGAAUUACUGGGCGUAAAGCGUGCGCAGGCGGUUAUAUAAGACAGUUGUGAAAUCCCCGGGCUCAACCUG
Molecule: ribosomal RNA, 536 nt
Filed under: uncultured Polaromonas sp.
Lineage: Bacteria; Pseudomonadati; Pseudomonadota; Betaproteobacteria; Burkholderiales; Comamonadaceae
Description: bacterial SSU rRNA
Rfam family: Bacterial small subunit ribosomal RNA
Source: RNAcentral